CUCGAUGAGUAGGGCGGGACACGUGGUAUCCUGUCUGAAUAUGGGGGGACCAUCCUCCAAGGCUAAAUACUCCUGACUGACCGAUAGUGAACCAGUACCGUGAGGGAAAGGCGAAAAGAACCCCGGCGAGGGGAGUGAAAAAGAACCUGAAACCGUGUACGUACAAGCAGUGGGAGCACAGGUUUACCUGUGUGACUGCGUACCUUUUGUAUAAUGGGUCAGCGACUUAUAUUCUGUAGCAAGGUUAACCGAAUAGGGGAGCCGGAGGGAAACCGAGUCUUAAUUGGGCGUUAAGUUGCAGGGUAUAGACCCGAAACCCGGUGAUCUAGCCAUGGGCAGGUUGAAGGUUGGGUAACACUAACUGGAGGACCGAACCGACUAAUGUUGAAAAAUUAGCGGAUGACCUGUGGCUGGGGGUGAAAGGCCAAUCAAACCGGGAGAUAGCUGGUUCUCCCCGAAAGCUAUUUAGGUAGCGCCUCGUGAAUUCAUCUCCGGGGGUAGAGCACUGUUUCGGCUAGGGGGCCAUCCCGGCUUACCAACCCGAUGCAAACUGCGAAUACCGGAGAAUGUUAUCACGGGAGACACACGGCGGGUGCUAACGUCCGUCGUGAAGAGGGAAACAACCCAGACCGCCAGCUAAGGUCCCAAAGUCAUGGUUAAGUGGGAAACGAUGUGGGAAGGCCCAGACAGCCAGGAUGUUGGCUUAGAAGCAGCCAUCAUUUAAAGAAAGCGUAAUAGCUCACUGGUCGAGUCGGCCUGCGCGGAAGAUGUAACGGGGCUAAACCAU
Molecule: ribosomal RNA, 787 nt
Filed under: Salmonella enterica
Lineage: Bacteria; Pseudomonadati; Pseudomonadota; Gammaproteobacteria; Enterobacterales; Enterobacteriaceae
Description: partial 23S ribosomal RNA
Rfam family: Bacterial large subunit ribosomal RNA
Source: RNAcentral